GAAGAUAUAGUUCAAUGGUAGAACAAUAGGCUGUUAACCUAUAUAUGUAAGUUCAAUUCUUACUAUCUCCUCCA
This 74-nucleotide transfer RNA is filed under the name Clostridium sp. Its description in RNAcentral is "tRNA-Asn". It matches the Rfam family "tRNA". From Rfam's summary of the family: Transfer RNA (tRNA) molecules are approximately 80 nucleotides in length. Lineage: Bacteria; Bacillati; Bacillota; Clostridia; Eubacteriales; Clostridiaceae. The record is from RNAcentral. RNAcentral also lists the same sequence under 1 other name.